RNAcentral lists this ribosomal RNA (393 nucleotides) under uncultured bacterium. Its description in RNAcentral is "bacterial SSU rRNA". It matches the Rfam family "Bacterial small subunit ribosomal RNA", at positions 36 to 436 of the family's 1533-position model. The record is from RNAcentral.
CUGGCGGCGUCCCUAACACAUGCAAGUCGAGCGAUUCUCUUCGGAGAAGAGCGGCGGACGGGUGAGUAACGCGUGGGUAACCUGCCCUGUACACACGGAUAACAUACCGAAAGGUAUGCUAAUACGGGAUAACAUAUGAAAGUCACAUGGCUUUUGUAUCAAAGCUUUUGCGGUACAGGAUGGACCCGCGUCUGAUUAGCUAGUUGGUGAGGUAAUGGCUCACCAAGGCAACGAUCAGUACCCGACCUGAGAGGGUGAUCGGCCACACUGGAACUGAGACACGGUCCACACUCCUACGGGAGGCAGCAGUGGGGAAUAUUGCACAAUGGGCGAAAGCCUGAUGCACCAACGCCUCGUGAGCCCAUGAAGGCCUUCCGCUUGUCAAAGCACUUU